RNAcentral lists this ribosomal RNA (434 nucleotides) under uncultured bacterium. RNAcentral describes it as "partial 16S ribosomal RNA". It matches the Rfam family "Bacterial small subunit ribosomal RNA", at positions 29 to 507 of the family's 1533-position model. The record is from RNAcentral.
AGCGAACGCUGGCGGCAGGCCUAACACAUGCAAGUCGAACGAACCUUUCGGGGUUAGUGGCGGACGGGUGAGUAACACGUGGGAACGUGCCUUUAGGUUCGGAAUAACUCAGGGAAACUUGUGCUAAUACCGAAUGUGCCCUUCGGGGGAAAGAUUUAUCGCCUUUAGAGCGGCCCGCGUCUGAUUAGCUAGUUGGUUGAGGUAAUGGCUCACCAAGGCGACGAUUAGUAGCUGGUCUGAGAGGAUGAUCAGCCACAUUGGGACUGAGACACGGCCCAAACUCUUACGGGAGGCAGCAGUGGGGAAUCUUGCGCAAUGGGCGAAAGCCUGACGCAGCCAUGCCGCGCGAAUGAUGAAGGUCUUAGGAUUGUAAAAUUCUUUCACCGGGGACGAUAAUGACGGUACCCGGAGAAGAAGCCCCGGCUAACUUCGUG